GGAGGAUUGCUUGAGUCCAGGAGUUUAAGGGUGUGGUGAGCUGUGAUUGCACUACUGCACUCCAGCCUGAGUGACAGAGCAAGACCCUGUCUCA
Molecule: microRNA precursor, 94 nt
Filed under: Microcebus murinus (gray mouse lemur)
Lineage: Eukaryota; Metazoa; Chordata; Mammalia; Primates; Cheirogaleidae
Description: miRNA (ENSMICG00000043464.1)
Source: RNAcentral